CAGUGGGGAAUUUUGGACAAUGGGGGAAACCCUGAUCCAGCAAUGCCGCGUGUGUGAAGAAGGCCUUCGGGUUGUAAAGCACUUUUGUCCGGAAAGAAAACGCUCUAGCUAAUAUCUGGGGCGGAUGACGGUACCGGAAGAAUAAGCACCGGCUAACUACGUGCCAGCAGCCGCGGUAAUACGUAGGGUGCGAGCGUUAAUCGGAAUUACUGGGCGUAAAGCGUGCGCAGGCGGUUUGUUAAGACAGAUGUGAAAUCCCCGGGCUCAACCUGGGAACUGCAUUUGUGACUGGCAAGCUCGAGUAUGGCAGAGGGGGGUGGAAUUCCACGUGUAGCAGUGAAAUGCGUAGAGAUGUGGAGGAACACCGAUGGCGAAGGCAGCCCCCUGGGCCAAUACUGACGCUCAUGCACGAAAGCGUGGGGAGCAAACAGGAUUAGA
This 438-nucleotide ribosomal RNA is filed under the name uncultured bacterium. RNAcentral describes it as "bacterial SSU rRNA". It matches the Rfam family "Bacterial small subunit ribosomal RNA", at positions 352 to 782 of the family's 1533-position model. The record is from RNAcentral.